This is a long non-coding RNA of Oryctolagus cuniculus (rabbit), 3162 nucleotides long. RefSeq lists it as uncharacterized. The record is from RefSeq and is a predicted model, not a curated record. Lineage: Eukaryota; Metazoa; Chordata; Mammalia; Lagomorpha; Leporidae.
UCUUUUUCAGAGCUGUGAAUCCUAUGACAUGGAAUUUUGUGCUGUGUUUUGAUUGGCACCUUCACAUUUGAUAUUAAUGGGAACCACCAAGGUGAAAGAUACUGAAAACUGAGUGGACUGAUUGACACUGCAAAGAACACAAAGCUCCUCUAGGGAAGAAACAACUGGAUUUGGAAAGAAAGAUGGAUGGAGGGAAAGAGGAGGAAACAGCCUGGAUACCAACUGACUGAAAAUACUGGGAGGAUGUGGAAGGCAGUAAUCAAGAAAAUGUUUUAGGAGCUGAAAAUAUAACAAGCUAUUGACACAUCUUUUGGGACAAAGUCUGGGAGUGGAAGAAAUCCAAAAGUGAGGCUGAAGAAGCUGGCUUCAAAUCCCUCUACGGACCAGUGGCCACCAAGAGUGAGAGAGUUUGUGCAAGAACCUGAAGUUUGGAUUAUUCUCCUAAGAAUAGCAGACUUCACAUGAGAAUCUGAUCAGUCAUUGCCUUUCCAGUUGUAUGGCAGGAAGUAAAUCAGGAUGGCUGAAACAAAAUGAAGUAAGGCCUGUUUCAGGUGUCCUUGCCCGGAGAACAGGAGGGAGAGAAGGAACUCAAUGCUGCGAGGGUAAUGGAGAACCCGGGCAGGUAGCCAGCUCUGUGCUUCACAGAUGUUCCACACAACCCAGCUGGCUCCUACCUCACCUGGUUAGUUUUUAUCUGGCUUCUUUUUAUUUACAGAAUGAAAUGUCAAGAUCUGAGAUUUGCCCAAGUGAGGUAUGACUUCCAUCUUUAGAGAAUUCCCCAUAUGUAGGUAGUCUCUGCUCAGCGUAGACAUCACACCUGGCUUACUUGUUUCUAUCCAUACAGCUCUCGCUCUCCUCCAUCUUGGAACACCAUGAAAAUUCAAGGUACUAUGUUCUUCAAGCCCAGAUAUUUCAGGAUCCAUCCUGCUUAGGGCACUGAGUCUAAAUGUAAGUUUUCCAGAUGUGGAUGCCACUUUCCCGGGAUAAAAGUGCAUUAGUGAUAGAAAACACACCCACAUGCUAACCAUGUGUGGAAGGAAACAGAGUGAAAUCACUGGACACAGAAAGACAAAUACUAGGUGCUGUUCCUUACAUGUGGGAGCUAAAAUUUAAAAAAUUAAAGAAGUGCUUGUUUGUAUCAGUGUUGCUGAAAAUAUAGUUUUGUGAAAUUUUGUUUUAUCUUUGUCAAAAAAAUGGUUAAGAAUGAUAUGCUACUAUAGUUUUAAGUAUCGGAUUAUUUUUAAAAUUUAUUGUGUAUGAGUGAAAUUAGUAUCUUUUCAUUUGAUUAUUGUUUGCAGUCCUUGCCUAUAUGCCUGCUGAAUUAGGGUCUUUUUACCUUUUACUUGUUGAACUCUUUAUUUAGUGGAGCACUAAGCCAUUGACAAUAAUGUAAAUUAAAAAUAUGUUAUCUCAAAAAUUAAAGAAAGAGGGGGAGACAGAUGGAGAAAGGGAAAUAUAUUUUUAGAAUUGUAUCUAUGAAGUACAUUAAAUCUGUUCUCUUUAUCUUAAGUAAAUAACUGAAAAAAUUAAUUUUAAAAAGAAAUACGGGGGAAAAUAAAAGCAGUGUUCUUCCUCUGCACCAAGGACCCCACAUCAGGAUGACUCCUCCCUUACUUACAUCAAGAAAUUCCCAAUUCAGUUUCUGCUCAGGCAAUCAAAGUUGUGGCUAGAUGAGCGCCUUAGGAAGCGUGCUAAGUCAAGUUAGCUAAAUAGGUGUUCUAAGUGUCUUCGAUCGUGCUGCCAUAACAAAAUGCCAUUGGGUGGCUUCAGCAACAGAAACUUCUUUUCCCCAGUUCUAGAAGCUGGAAGAGUGAGGUUAGGGUACCAGCAUUGUCAUGUUCUGGCUUGCGCUGGCUACCCUGAAUGCAGGUUCACGUGGCAGAGGCAAAGAGCAACCAGGCUUUCUGGUGCCUUUUUUUUCUUUACUUUUUUUAAUGUAAAGAGGACAGAUUCUAUGCAUUCCAUAGGUACAGUUCCAAAAAGACAAGCACACUUCCCUCAACCCCUACUUCCCUACAAUCCUCCCUCUCCCUCUCCACUCUUCAUCAGUUUUUGCAAAACCAUAAUUCUUUUUUCUGGUGUCUUUUCUAAUAAGGGCACCAAUCCUAUCAUGAGGGCCCCAUCCUCAUGGCCUUGUCUCAACAUAGUUGCCUCCAGAAGGCCCCGUCUCUAAGUACUAUGACAUGGGGGGCUAGGGCUUCAGCAUAAGCAUUUAGUAGGGGGGCAUAAACCUUCAGUCACACCAAAUUGGUUCUUUGGAGAUUUACACUCCCACAUCUGAUUUUACUGUGGGAUUUCUGAAUACAAUAACAUGGAGCUAGGCUAUAUAUUACCAUGUGUGAUAAUGCAAAUAUGAUAUCAAGUAUAGUUUUACCUUGAAAUCACUCACAACUCAUCCUUACCUCUAAAAAGCACUCUAUUCAUAGGUCUGGCAUUAGAAACUAUGGAGAAAACUCUUUAUGGAACCAUUUGAAAGCUUCUGUACGAACGUCAUUUAUUAGCAAAUUCUUCCCAAAUGAAACAGUGAUACUGCUUGAACAAAUGAUAAAGGUUUUGGAGUUAUUCAAAUUUAACUGAAGGGUAAAAACAUAUUCAUAUCUAUACAAAAUCAUCUGAGACAUAAAUGAAUACUGUAUACUGUGAUAGCUGAAUUGUUGACACAUACCCUCUGGAAUAUGGAGAGAUUCACUAACGUUAUUAUGGAGACAAUAGGCAAAAGAUUACAGGGAAAAAAUCCCUUUUCCACAUUUACCUUUACUUUUCAGCAUUGAAAUUUACAGGUCAUCAAAGAAGGAGGUACCUUUCUCUGAAGGGAGGAGAGAACCUCCACUUUGACUACGACCUUGUCUAAAUAUGAUCAGAGUCGGAGAACUCAAAAGGCUUCCAUAGCCUUGGAAGCUCAUGACAAGAGCCUAGGGUGAUUACUGAUGCCAUAAACAAGAGUGUCAAUUUGUUAAGUCAACAACAGGAGUCACUGUGCACUUACUCCUCAUGUAGGAUCUCUGUCCUUAAUGUGCUGUACAUUGUGAUUUAAUGCUAUAACUAGUACUCAAACAGUAUUUUUCACUUUGUGUUUCUAUGUGGGUGCAAACUGUUGAAGUCUUUACUUAAUAUAUGCUAAACUGAUCUUCUGUAUAUAAAGAGAAUUAAAAAUGAAUCUUG